RNAcentral lists this long non-coding RNA (267 nucleotides) under Elaeis guineensis (African oil palm). RNAcentral describes it as "long non-coding RNA (EGUI_LNC040414)". The record is from RNAcentral. Lineage: Eukaryota; Viridiplantae; Streptophyta; Magnoliopsida; Arecales; Arecaceae.
GUCUAUAUCAUCUUUCUAUAAAAUAUAAUUAAAAUAAUCAAAUUCGCUAUCUUCAAAAAUGAUUUAAUAAUUUUCAAACAUUGAAAUAUAAGAAUAUACUAUUAUCUCUCAAAUUCUUUCAGAAAUACUUUUGCAGAUGAAAACCACCUUUGGAGUAAGAUUAGAACCAAUUAAGAAUACUUUGAACAAAUUAGACAUAAAUUAGAGACAAGUCUCAUGUAAAACGAUCAUCUAAAAAAGUUGAGUCGACUCAAAAUGGAUUUGAGU